This 290-nucleotide ribosomal RNA is filed under the name Escherichia coli. RNAcentral describes it as "partial 16S rRNA". It matches the Rfam family "Bacterial small subunit ribosomal RNA", at positions 34 to 320 of the family's 1533-position model. The record is from RNAcentral. Lineage: Bacteria; Pseudomonadati; Pseudomonadota; Gammaproteobacteria; Enterobacterales; Enterobacteriaceae.
CGCUGGCGGCAGGCCUAACACAUGCAAGUCGAACGGUAACAGGAAUCAGCUUGCUGNUUCGCUGACGAGUGGCGGACGGGUGAGUAAUGUCUGGGAAACUGCCUGAUGGAGGGGGAUAACUACUGGAAACGGUAGCUAAUACCGCAUAACGUCGCAAGACCAAAGAGGGGGACCUUCGGGCCUCUUGCCAUCGGAUGUGCCCAGAUGGGAUUAGCUAGUAGGUGGGGUAACGGCUCACCUAGGCGACGAUCCCUAGCUGGUCUGAGAGGAUGACCAGCCACACUGGAACU